RNAcentral lists this non-coding RNA (27 nucleotides) under Bombyx mori (domestic silkworm). The record is from RNAcentral. Lineage: Eukaryota; Metazoa; Arthropoda; Insecta; Lepidoptera; Bombycidae.
ACAUGAUUGAACAAACAGAGGACACAA